This 596-nucleotide long non-coding RNA is filed under the name Callithrix jacchus (white-tufted-ear marmoset). RNAcentral describes it as "lncRNA (ENSCJAG00000072673.1)". Lineage: Eukaryota; Metazoa; Chordata; Mammalia; Primates; Cebidae. The record is from RNAcentral.
CACUGUUUAAGUUUAUGACUGAAAUAUUCUGUUAACUGAGCCAGUCAAUUUCUGUUUGACUUAGGAUAUGGCUUCUUUUACCUUUGAUAUUACCACAUGCCUGUUUUGGAAGUGGCUGUUUUCACUGGGCUCCCAAUGACCUAAACCACACCCCCACACGGUCUUCUUCUUUCCCGUCAGAAGGAAGUGGUGUGCAUAUGUGCACCUGUGUGCAUGUGUGUGUCAGAGAGAGACGGGGAGAAGAGCGAGACUGGAUGGAAAGAAUCUCUCCCUGAGUGAGGGAGAUUUUGAAUCAUUUUUUGGGAGAUUUGUGUGUUAUUUUCCCGUUGUUUGUUUUUAGUUUUAAAAAUCUUCUCUAGAGCUAUGGAUGGCUGUGUCAUUUUUGUUGCUGUUGAGCUACAAGAAAAAUGCUGGCAGUUGUGACAGAUUAUUAAGCCAGAAAAAUUUCUUGAAGAAAAUAUCCUCAUCUGUUAUGCAUUCUUGCUCCUCCUUCGUCUGGUGCACCCCACAUCUGUGAAUGGAAAGUGUCUACAGGACUGUGGUACUCUCUGGAUGAAUCCCACUGCUCUUCCGUGGAGUUGCUUCCGGUGGAGGGC